UAAUACGUAGGGAGCAAGCGUUGUCCGGAAUCAUUGGGCGUAAAGCGCGCGUAGGCGGCCCUGUAAGUCCGUUGUGAAAGUCAAAGGCUCAACCUUUGAAAGCCGAUGGAUACUGCAGGGCUAGAGUCCGGAAGAGGCGAGUGGAAUUCCUGGUGUAGCGGUGGAAUGCGCAGAUAUCAGGAGGAACACCAAUAGCGAAGGCAGCUCGCUGG
Molecule: ribosomal RNA, 212 nt
Filed under: uncultured bacterium
Lineage: Bacteria
Description: partial 16S ribosomal RNA
Rfam family: Bacterial small subunit ribosomal RNA
Source: RNAcentral